AAAAUCACCUUUUUUUUAUGAAUAAAGCCCCAUAAAUCCAAAACUUAAAAUCUGAAAUUUAUUAAAAUUGAAAGGGAGCUUACAUCAAUAGAUAUAAACAAUUCACCAAAGUUUCAUGGACAUUGGUGAAAGCCUUUUUGAGUUAUUGUCCGAAGUGUUAAAAAUCACCCUUUUUUUUAUGAAUAAAGCCCCAUAAAUCCAAAACUUAAAAUCUGAAAAUUAAAAAAAAAACGAAAGGGAGCUUACAUCAAUAGAUAUAAACAAUUCACCAAAGUUUCAUGGACAUUGGUGAAAGCCUUUUUGAGUUAUUGUCCGAAGUGUUGAAAAUCCCCCUUUUUUAUGAAUAAAGCCCCAUAAAUCCAAAACUUAAAAUCUGAAAUUUAUAAAAAAACGAAAGGGAGCUUACAUCAAUAGAUAUAAACAAUUCACCAAAGUUUCAUGGACAUUGGUGAAAGCCUUUUUGAGUUAUUGUCCGAAGUGUUGAAAAUCCCCCCUUUUUAUGAAUAAAGCCCCAUAAAUCCAAAACUUAAAAUCUGAAAUUAAAAAAAAAAACGAAAGGGAGCUUACGUCAAUAGAUAUAAACAAUUCACUUAAGUUUCAUGGAAAUUGGUGAAAGUGUUUUUGAGUUAUUGUCCGAAGUGUGGACGACGGACAGACAGACGGACGGACAACGGUAUACCAUAAUACGUCCCGUC
This 695-nucleotide long non-coding RNA is filed under the name Mytilus galloprovincialis (Mediterranean mussel). The record is from RNAcentral. Lineage: Eukaryota; Metazoa; Mollusca; Bivalvia; Mytilida; Mytilidae.